AGAGUUUGAUCCUGGCUCAGGAUGAACGUUGGCGGCGUGCCUUACCAAUGCGAGUCGAACGGUACGGGGAGGCUCUUCGGAGCGCCCACGACCGUGGCGUCCGGGUGCGUAACACGUAGCUAACCUACCGGCCGGUGGGGGAAAACUCCGGGAAACCGGAGGUAAUCCCGCAUGGGGUCGCCUGGUAGACAGGUGGACGAAAGCUGUGGCAGGGGAACCUGUCAUGGCGCCGGCUGAGGGGGCUGCGGCCGAUUAGCUAGUUGGUGGGGUAAUGGCUCACCAAGGCAGUGAUCGGUAGCGGGUCUGAGAGGAUGAUCCGCCACACGGGGACUGAGAUAUGGUCCCGAGCCCUACGGGGUUUAGCAUGGAGGAAUCUUGCGCAAUGGGCGAAAGCCUGACGCAGCGACGCCGCGUGGGGGAUGAAGGCCUUCGGGUCGUAAACCCCUUUUCUGGGGGACGAUUUUGACGGUACCCCAGGAAGAAGCCACGGCUAACAGGGUGCCAGCAGCCGCGGUAAUACCUUGGUGGCAAACGUUAUCCGGAAUCACUGGGCGUAAAGCGCUCGUAGGCGGCUUGGCAGGUGUUCGGUGAAAGCCCCCGGCUCACCCGGGGAGGGUCCGAGCAAACCACCAGGCUGGAGGCAGGCAGAGGACCGUGGAACGUCCGGGGGAGUAGUGGAAUGCGUAGAUCCCGGACGGAACACCAGAGGCGAAGGCGGCGGUCUGGGCCUGACCUGACGCUGAGGGGCGAAAGCGCGGGGAGCAAACAGGAUUAGAUACCCUGGUAGUCCGCGCUGUAAACGAUGGACGCUAGGUGUGUGGGGGGCUCAACCCCCCUGCGUGCCGGAGCUAACGCGGUAAGCGUCCCGCCUGGGGACUACGGUCGCAAGACUAAAACUCAAAGGAAUUGACGGGUGCCCGCACAAGCAGCGGAGCGUGUGGUUCAAUUCGAGGCUACGCGAAGAACCUUACCGGGGUUUGACAUUACGCGGCUAUCCCGCGAAAUCGGGAGUUCCUUCGGGACCGCGUAACAGGUGCUGCAUGGCUGUCGUCAGCUCGUG
RNAcentral lists this ribosomal RNA (1060 nucleotides) under uncultured bacterium. Its description in RNAcentral is "bacterial SSU rRNA". It matches the Rfam family "Bacterial small subunit ribosomal RNA", at positions 8 to 1064 of the family's 1533-position model. The record is from RNAcentral.